CCUACGAGCGGCAGCAGUAGGGAAUCUUCCACAAUGGGCGAAAGCCUGAUGGAUCAACGCCGCGUGGGUGAAGAAGGUCUUCGGAUCGUAAAACCCUGUUGUUAGAGAAGACAGUGCGUGAGAGUAACUGUUCACGGUUCGACGAUAUCUAACCAGAAAGCCACGGCUAACUACGUGCCAGGAGCCGCGCUAAUACGUAGGUGGCAUACGUUAUCCGGAUGUAUUGGGCGUAAAGGGAACACAUGCGGUCUUUUAGUUAUGAUGUGAAAGCCUUCGGCUUAACCGGAGUAGUGCAUGGGAAACUGGGAGACUUGAGUGCAGAAGCGGAGAGUGGAACUCCAUGUGUAGCGGUGAAAUGCGUAGAUAUAUGGAAGAACACCAGUGGCGAAAGCGGCUCUCUGGUCUGUAACUGACGCUGCGGUUCGAAAGCGUGGGUAGCAAACAGGAUUAGAUACCCGGGUAGUC
This 465-nucleotide ribosomal RNA is filed under the name uncultured bacterium. RNAcentral's name for it is "partial 16S ribosomal RNA". It matches the Rfam family "Bacterial small subunit ribosomal RNA", at positions 338 to 795 of the family's 1533-position model. The record is from RNAcentral.